Molecule: ribosomal RNA, 1119 nt
Filed under: Triticum aestivum (bread wheat)
Lineage: Eukaryota; Viridiplantae; Streptophyta; Magnoliopsida; Poales; Poaceae
Description: partial small subunit ribosomal RNA
Source: RNAcentral
AUGGCCGGAGAAGACGCCGCCGUUUCCGCGGGCACUGCGGCGCCGCACAAUCCGCCCAAGAAGGAGGUGUACGACGAAGACGAUGAAAACGACGUGCCGCUGGCGUUCUCUCGAGGCAAGAAGAAAGCGAGCGCGGCGAGCGCCACCAAGGUCAAGAAGGAGGAGGACGACGAUGAUAACAUUCCGCUUGCGCGUCGGGCCAAAAAAGCGAGCAAUGGGGGUGCAAAGAAGGAGAAAAAGGAGGAGUACGAGGAGGAAGAGGAGGAGUACGAGGAGGAGGAGGAGGAAGACGACGACGACGAGGAUUUUGCAGAUGAGUACACUCCGGUUUCGCGGGGAAAGAAGGGAAAUGAGAAGGAGAAAAGCACUUCCAAUAGCAAGGUGAAGGCUUCUAAAGUAAAGAAAGAAGAAACAGGUUCUGAUGAUGAAUGCAAGCCAAAAUCGCAGAAGAGAAGUCCAGCUGCAGGCAAACCCAAGAUCUCCAAGAUUAAGAAACCAAAAGAUGAAUAUGAUACAAAGGAGGAAAAGAAAAUAAAGAAGGAAGUUGGUAUCAAGGAAGAUGAAAAGAAGGCUGCUGGGGUGAAGAAGGAGGGGGCUGCUGGGGUGAAGAAGGAGAGAAAGGUGUAUGAAUUGCCAGGGCAGAAACAUGAUCCUCCUCCUGAAAGGGAUCCAUUGAGGAUAUUUUAUGAAUCGCUCUAUGAGCAGGUGCCCGAUAGUGAAAUGGCUGCAUUUUGGUUGAUGGAAUGGGGUUUGCUACCGCUGGAUGUGGCUACAGAGGUCUUUGCGAGGAAACAGGGUCAGAAACAGGUUCUGAAACUGAGAUCACCGGUCAAAACGCCUUCUACACAGAGAAGGGCAAGUUCUCCAACCAAGAAGGUACUGCUGUUAGGCGAUAAGAAAACCAACUCAGGUACAAAGGGAAAAACCACAGCGCAAAAGAAGAGGGCAUCUAGCAACACUGAUGACGACGAGGACGACGACUUUGUCGAAACCAACUCAGCCACAAAGGGAAAAACCACAGCACAAAAGAGAAAGAAGGCAUCUAGCGACACAGAUGACGACGACGAUGAUGACUUUGUCAUGCCUAAGAAGCCCAAGAAGCAAAAGAUCUCUAGCUAA